This 682-nucleotide ribosomal RNA is filed under the name uncultured bacterium. RNAcentral's name for it is "bacterial SSU rRNA". It matches the Rfam family "Bacterial small subunit ribosomal RNA", at positions 9 to 681 of the family's 1533-position model. The record is from RNAcentral.
GAGUUUGAUCCUGGCUCAGGAUGAACGCUGGCGGCGUGCUUAACACAUGCAAGUCGAACGAAGCACAUGUAGCGGACUGGAGAGCUUGCUCAAAGGGAAGCAGCAUGUGACUGAGUGGCGGACGGGUGAGUAACGCGUGGAUAACCUACCUCAUACAGGGGGAUAACAGUUGGAAACGACUGUUAAUACCGCAUAAGCGCACGGGACUGCAUGGUUCUGUGUGAAAAACUCCGGUGGUAUGAGAUGGGUCCGCGUCUGAUUAGCUAGUUGGCAGGGUAACGGCCUACCAAGGCGACGAUCAGUAGCCGGCCUGAGAGGGUGUACGGCCACAUUGGGACUGAGACACGGCCCAAACUCCUACGGGAGGCAGCAGUGGGGAAUAUUGCACAAUGGGGGGAACCCUGAUGCAGCGACGCCGCGUGGGUGAAGAAGUAUUUCGGUAUGUAAAGCCCUAUCAGCAGGGAAGACAAUGACGGUACCUGACUAAGAAGCCCCGGCUAACUACGUGCCAGCAGCCGCGGUAAUACGUAGGGGGCAAGCGUUAUCCGGAUUUACUGGGUGUAAAGGGAGCGUAGGUGGCGUGCCAAGUCAGGAGUGAAAACCCAGGGCCCAACUCUGGGACUGCUCUUGAAACUGGCAGGCUUGAGUGCUGGAGAGGUAAGCGGAAUUCCUAGUGUAGCGG